AGCAGCCGCGGUAAUUCCAGCUCCAAUAGCGUAUAUUAAAGUUGUUGCAGUUAAAAAGCUCGUAGUUGAAUUUCGAGACCGGUCUACUGGUCGUGCUUUUGUACGUACUGGUAUAAUCGGUUUCUCUCUUCUGACGAACUAUAAUGCCAUUAAUUUGGUGUUUUAGGGAAUCAGGACUGUUACUUUGAAAAAAUUAGAGUGUUUAAAGCAGGCUCACGCUUGAAUACAUUAGCAUGGAAUAACGAAAUAGGACGUUUGAUUCUAUUUUGUUGGUUUCUAGGAUCGACGUAAUGAUUAAUAGGGAUAGUUGGGGGCAUUAGUAUUCAAUUGUCAGAGGUGAAAUUCUUGGAUUUAUUGAAGACUAACUACUGCGAAAGCAUUUGCCAAGGAUGUUUUCAUUAAUCAAGAACGAAAGUUAGGGGAUCGAAGACGAUCAGAUACCGUCGUAGUCUUAACCAUAAAUUAUGCCGACUAGGGAUCGGAUGAUGUUAAAUUAAUGACUCA
This 504-nucleotide ribosomal RNA is filed under the name uncultured Glomeraceae. RNAcentral's name for it is "SSU rRNA". It matches the Rfam family "Eukaryotic small subunit ribosomal RNA", at positions 569 to 1078 of the family's 1831-position model. The record is from RNAcentral. Lineage: Eukaryota; Fungi; Glomeromycota; Glomeromycetes; Glomerales; Glomeraceae.